Long non-coding RNA from Photinus pyralis (common eastern firefly), 207 nucleotides. RefSeq lists it as uncharacterized. The transcript is spliced from 3 exons. Lineage: Eukaryota; Metazoa; Arthropoda; Insecta; Coleoptera; Lampyridae. The record is from RefSeq and is a predicted model, not a curated record.
AUGAAGUUCCGCCGUCCACUAGCCGUCAGCUUCAAGGAGAGCAAUCUCAGCCCCUUGAUCUCACUGUAAAACAUCCACCGCUGCCGUCUGCCCCUGGCGACUACAAACCCCAAUCGCAGCCCCUCGACCUCUGUGUGAAACAUCCACCGCAACCUUCCGUUUCGUCUUCCCAUGCAAAGCCUAAGCGAAAGCGUGCUGCUCCGUGUG